Daktulosphaira vitifoliae (grape phylloxera) is the source of this 1000-nucleotide long non-coding RNA. RefSeq lists it as uncharacterized. Lineage: Eukaryota; Metazoa; Arthropoda; Insecta; Hemiptera; Phylloxeridae. The record is from RefSeq and is a predicted model, not a curated record. The transcript has 3 exons.
UUUAAUUUUUCUAGUAAUUCAAUUUUAAGUGAAUUUUAUUCACUUUAACUUAACUAUGUAUUAAUUUUAAAAUAUUGAUAAUUUUUGUUAAAUUAACUUUAUUUAUACAGUUAAUGUCAUUUAAUUUACAUUAAAGGCUCUCUGACAUUGGUAUUUCGCAAAGAAAAUAUGUUGAAAACAAUGUGAGUUGCAAACAUAAUGUUGAAAUAAUCAAAUCUGCAAUACUUCACAUACACAGCCAUAAUAAUAGUUAACAACAAUCAAAAAGAUGAUUGGGCAAAUUUUCACGAAGUGGCUAUCUCGUGCACGGAUUAAGAUGGGCGGUCAAGUGUACGUGCACGAAGGUUCUAUUCAAUACGCCAAUUAUAAACUGCACAAGACAGAAAACAUAUUUGGUUAUACUAAAUAUAUAAAAAUUUAAAUACAAUAUCAAGAGGAGUGGAAGGCGGUGUCGGUGGCGGCAAAAACUCUUGAAUAGUUGUAAUGCCAAGAAGAAAAAGAAGUUAUGAAAAUUGAAAAAUUAAAUUUUUGCCACUCAUCAGCUUUUGGAUAUGUACCACAGAUAUACAGAAUGAUUUCUAAGCUAUGCCUCGCACAAGUAUAAAACAUAUUUAACUUUUUUAUCUUUUUAAAAGUUAACAAUAUCCUAUUUACUAUACUUUUCAAAAAAAAAAUUAGUACGGCUAAUAAGUGCUAGAGAUUAAAAUUAAUAGUCUCUUGCUUUACUUCCAGACAUUAUAAUAAAGUGCUAAUAAUUUCGAAAAUACUAGUUCAAAAGUUAAAAAAAUAUUAUUGUGAACAUCUUUACUUACAGUAGAUAACAAAAUGGCUUCCUUUUAUAUUUCGUUUUCGAUUACAUUUGACAAAAAGAAAUUUAUCAAAUUUGAUUUGAAAAUGGCUACACACAUUUCUGAUUCUAAUUGGCCCCUUUACCUUAAAUUUGACUAGAACUCAUCGAUGUUUUCGUAAUAGUCAUUUUAGUACAUAAUAGAAAUUUUAA